UACGAAGGGGGCUAGCGUUGCUCGGAAUGACUGGGCGUAAAGGGCGCGUAGGCGGCUUGCACCGUCAGAUGUGAAAUUCCUGGGCUUAACCUGGGGGCUGCAUUUGAUACGUGUGGGCUUGAGUGCGGAAGAGGGUCGUGGAAUUCCUGGUGUAGCGGUGAAAUGCGCAGAUAUCAGGAAGAACACCAAUGGCGAAGGCAGCUCUCUGGGACGGUACUGACGCUGAGACGCGAAAGCGUGGGGAGCGAACAGG
This 253-nucleotide ribosomal RNA is filed under the name uncultured bacterium. RNAcentral describes it as "partial 16S ribosomal RNA". It matches the Rfam family "Bacterial small subunit ribosomal RNA", at positions 524 to 776 of the family's 1533-position model. The record is from RNAcentral.